This is a non-coding RNA of Anas platyrhynchos (mallard), 1008 nucleotides long. The record is from RefSeq and is a predicted model, not a curated record. Lineage: Eukaryota; Metazoa; Chordata; Aves; Anseriformes; Anatidae.
AGGAAAAAAAAAAACUUCACUCUCUGUGUAAAACAGUUAUUUAAAAGGAACAUCCUGCCCUGGUUUGUCUCCAAGCAGCUAGAAACAAUGGUAUUUUCUCUUUCACAAACUGCAUGCAAUUUGAACAAGCUCUGAAGCACACUUCAAUGCUGUGAGACCUCUGGAAGCGAAGAGAAAAACUUUGAUGGCAAGAUACCCGUUUGGUCUCCUGGAUAUCAACAACUGCACGAAGGAUUUAACAAGUGAUUAAGAUGAGCAGCGUCUGAUCUCAUGUAAACUCCCUAAAGCUGUUUGGCAUACCUGGAGGGUCACUCGGACACCAACCCAUUAGAGCAAAACAGGUGAUCAACCUCAGGACUGCAAAAUUCGACAUCUGAACUAGCGGAGAACAUCUUUAGAGGAACUACAUGCAAUAUUGGCUUUUCUUGGUUCUUUAAAAGAUAAGUAUUUUGAAAGGGUCUGCAGGACUGGGGGAGCCCUAAAGACAAUUCCGAUUCAAAUUAAAUAAUAGGCUAGCUUUUAAUGGAAAUGAUCAUCUAUCCCAAUCUGGAAAACCCACAAAAGUAUAAGCCACCUGCCUUCUUUCUCUCUUUAGGUGCCACUUUCUCUGACAUCCAGUUUUCCUGUUUCCUUACACAUGUGCUAAAGCAGGCACUGAGAUAUUUGGGAUGGAGACUGACAAAUGCUUACAAGAUACGUGACAAUGUUUCGUUAACUGUACUGCAGACAAGACUCAUCUGUUGGAGAAAAGACAUUGUCUUUCUGAAUUAUCUACUUCACUUCUGAAUGACCUUUAUAAAACUCACUGACUGUGCUUACCUAAUGCUAUUUAAUAAAUGUUAUUAAUGCAUGCAAGAAAAGCUAAGAGAGAUCACCACAGAACUGUGCAGCUUCAAACUGCUAAGGGAGUAUUGCUUUUUCCUCAGCAUGGCAACAUCAUCAGUUCUUCUGCAUCAAUGGACAGAUGUUCAAGGUGUCCCUUUUAAAUAAAAAUAAUUUUAAAAUGAA